Long non-coding RNA from Mus musculus (house mouse), 773 nucleotides. RefSeq annotates it as predicted gene, 29961. The record is from RefSeq and is a predicted model, not a curated record. NCBI's taxonomy places the organism in Eukaryota, Metazoa, Chordata, Mammalia, Rodentia, Muridae. The transcript is spliced from 4 exons.
GUAUAUCUCAGAUGCUGCACAGCCCUCCAUGAUUUUAAAUAAUUAAAGGAUUACAGAUCACUUGCGUCACCUACGUCAUGUGAGCUUCACACAGCACACAGAGAUGGGACCAUCAGACAGCGACAGCAUCAGAAAGGAUGGAGUUAAACUUUGGAAAUAAUGCUCAACUGUAGGAGUUCAGACGCUGAGGACCAAGAACCUUCUGUGAUGGGACAGCUAAAGACCAAGAGGGCUGUUGUGGCUGACAGGAUCGCGUCCAUUGUCUUGUGCUACCCUGGAAAUAGAAGUGAGGACUGUACGGAGCAGAGAAAGCGCUGAAGGAGGAGCAUCCUGGGAGAACUAUGCUGUUGAUGUGGGCACGGCCAUAUCAAGGACCUCAGAGCCUCUGGUCUGUGGAGGAACAGCAAAGCCUUCCCCUUGGCACAGUGAGUUGAGAGAAGACACAGUGAUAGUACAGAGUGAGGCACCACUGGAGACUAUAGAGCAAGUUAGUCCUGCCCUUGAAGAACACACCAUCUAGAAGAAGAAACUAAAAAGAAGAAGUGAAGAAGCCGCUAAAUCUUCAUGAAAUGUGAAGAGCUUUAAAACAGAGAAAAUGGGAGCUGGGUGGGAAACGGUGGUGAGAGAAAGCUUUCUCUAGGUGCUGGUCUUGAGUAAAGUCAUGAGAAAGUACACAAGAGCAAACCCAGAGGGAUGGGGUGGGGAGAGCGUGUGCAAAGGCCCUGGGGCAAGAGAUCUGUAGAUGAACAGAGCAGAGGCCAGGGAAGACACAG